This 484-nucleotide ribosomal RNA is filed under the name uncultured Burkholderia sp. Its description in RNAcentral is "bacterial SSU rRNA". It matches the Rfam family "Bacterial small subunit ribosomal RNA", at positions 19 to 496 of the family's 1533-position model. The record is from RNAcentral. Lineage: Bacteria; Pseudomonadati; Pseudomonadota; Betaproteobacteria; Burkholderiales; Burkholderiaceae.
CUGGCUCAGAUUGAACGCUGGCGGCAUGCCUUACACAUGCAAGUCGAACGGCAGCACGGGUGCUUGCACCUGGUGGCGAGUGGCGAACGGGUGAGUAAUACAUCGGAACGUGUCCUGUAGUGGGGGAUAGCCCGGCGAAAGCCGGAUUAAUACCGCAUACGAUCUACGGAUGAAAGCGGGGGAUCUUUGGACCUCGCGCUAUAGGGGCGGCCGAUGGCGGAUUAGCUAGUUGGUGAGGUAAAGGCUCACCAAGGCGACGAUCCGUAGCUGGUCUGAGAGGACGACCAGCCACACUGGGACUGAGACACGGCCCAGACUCCUACGGGAGGCAGCAGUGGGGAAUUUUGGACAAUGGGCGAAAGCCUGAUCCAGCAAUGCCGCGUGUGUGAAGAAGGCCUUCGGGUUGUAAAGCACUUUUGUCCGGAAAGAAAUCCUUGAUCCUAAUAUGGUCGGGGGAUGACGGUACCGGAAGAAUAAGCACCGG